AUUGAACGCUGGCGGAAUGCUUUACACAUGCAAGUCGGGCGGCAGCGCGGGGGCAACCCUGGCGGCGAGCGGCGAACGGGUGAGUAGUACAUCGGAACGUGUCCUUGAGUGGGGGAGUAGCUCGGCGAAAGCCGGAUUAAUACCGCAUAAGCUCUGAGGAGGAAAGCGGGGACUGGUAACGGCCUCGCGCUGUUGGAGCGGCCGAUGUCCGGAUUAGCUAGUUGGUGGGGUAAAAGGCCCACCAAGGCGACGAUCCGUAGCUGGUCUGAGAGGAUGAUCAGCCACACUGGAACUGAGACACGGUCCAGACUCCUACGGGAGGCAGCAGUGGGGAAUUUUGGACAAUGGGGGCAACCCUGAUCCAGCCAUUCCGCGUGAGUGAAAGAA
Molecule: ribosomal RNA, 387 nt
Filed under: uncultured bacterium
Lineage: Bacteria
Description: bacterial SSU rRNA
Rfam family: Bacterial small subunit ribosomal RNA
Source: RNAcentral